AUGGCCAAGAUCCAGCCUCUCGCUGCCGCCGCCUCGCUGUGUUCCUCCGAUGAUCACCGGAGGCAGCAGGGCAGGCAGCUGGCGUACACGGUGUGGAUGAAGUCGCUCGUGUUCAACGGCAACGGCUGCACGGUGUACGACCCCGACGGCGCCGUCGCCUUCCGCGUCGACAACUACGGCUGCAGGGGCGGCCGCGAGGUCUUCUUCAUGGACCGUCAGGGGAACGCACUCAUCAGGAUCAGACGCAAGGGCUUCGGCAUGUUCAGAAGGUGGGAGGUCUGUCGCUGCGCCCACAACGGCGGCCAGGAAGAGGAGGCCACGCCGUGGUUCAGCGUGCGGCGGGCCGAGAAGGGCGGGGCCACCAUGGCCAUGCACGGCGGCGCCGGGACGUGCUACACGAUCGACGGGUGCUCUGCCCGCAAGUCGGAGUACAGAGUACGUGGCGUGGAUGGCGCGGUGGUGGCGGAGGUCGCACGGAAGCAGACGGCGGCGGGGGUGGUGCUCGGGGAGGACGUGCUGACGCUGAAGGUGGCGCCGGAGGUGGAUCACCUGCUCUUCCUGGGUUUGGUCGUCGUGCGUGGCCUCAUCAACCGCUCCUUGUGA
This 603-nucleotide ribosomal RNA is filed under the name Triticum aestivum (bread wheat). RNAcentral's name for it is "partial small subunit ribosomal RNA". The record is from RNAcentral. Lineage: Eukaryota; Viridiplantae; Streptophyta; Magnoliopsida; Poales; Poaceae.